This 490-nucleotide ribosomal RNA is filed under the name uncultured bacterium. RNAcentral's name for it is "partial 16S ribosomal RNA". It matches the Rfam family "Bacterial small subunit ribosomal RNA", at positions 30 to 507 of the family's 1533-position model. The record is from RNAcentral.
AUUGAACGCUGGCGGCAGGCCUAACACAUGCAAGUCGAACGGCAACACAGUACGGGUUUGUGCUUCCCGGUGGCGUGGCGGGGGGGUGAGAGGUGUAUAUCGAACUCUACUUUUGCGGGGGAGAUCACGUAGGGAAGCUUACGCUAAUACCGCAUACGCGCUACAGGAAAGAGGAGGGGACCUUCGGCCCUUGCGCGAUGGAAUGCCCAGAUGGCAGUAUCGUGAUGGUGGGGUAAAGGGGCACCAAGGCGACGAUCCGUAGCUGGUCUGAGAGGAUGAUCAGCCACACUGGAACUGAGACACGGUCCAGACUCCUACGGGAGGCAGCAGUGGGGAAUAUUGGACAAUGGGCGCAAGCCUGAUCCAGCCAUACCGCGUGUGUGAAGAAGGCCUUCGGGUUGUAAAGCCCUUUUGUUGGGGAAGAAGAGCAUCAGGUUAAUACCUCGCUGUACUGACGGUACCCGAAGAAGAAGCACCGGCUAACUUCGUG